UCUAGCUGCUUGUAGAUCCUAUUCCCUUUGAAAUGGUGGCUGAUUUGGUCCAGGAACACAGGAUCCACAAAAGCCCUUCCUGCUUCCAAAACUUGGUCCUUAUCUCCACGGCAGAGCUACCCACAGUGCUCGGGAAAAGAGAAAACGUGUCUUUACCCAGCUUUGACAAGAGUCAGAGGGAGAGACUUGUGCGAUGUGAGGCCCUGAGGACAAAGCCCCAGCGGGGCUCUCCCACCACAGAUGCAGGGCCAGUCCCAGGAGGGCCAGCUUGACCAGUUCUAUCCCAUCGAUGCCAUCAGGAGGUGGAAGCUUCUGGCAGGAAGAAAGUACAAGGAACCGUGACAUCGUGCUGUAGAGGAUCUGGUCACACGGAGGUCACUUUGGCCCAUGCAGAGAUGGAGGCAAGCAAAGUGCAGCGAGGUCUGAGUGCUAUGAUCAGCUCACUGCCCCUGGCAUCUCGACCACCUGUCUGCGCUUUCCCGGAAUCGGCCUCCUCUGUCCGUGAAUCUGGUUACAUCAGAGCUGCGCGUGACGCCACUUUCUCUGUGGCUCUUCAUGGUCUAAAGAUGGAGCACCAA
Physeter macrocephalus (sperm whale) is the source of this 578-nucleotide long non-coding RNA. RefSeq lists it as uncharacterized. The transcript has 3 exons. The record is from RefSeq and is a predicted model, not a curated record. Lineage: Eukaryota; Metazoa; Chordata; Mammalia; Artiodactyla; Physeteridae.